CAGUAGCCGCGGUAAUACGAAGGGGGCUAGCGUUGCUCGGAAUCACUGGGCGUAAAGGGUGCGUAGGCGGGUCUUUAAGUCAGGGGUGAAAUCCUGGAGCUCAACUCCAGAACUGCCUUUGAUACUGAAGAUCUUGAGUUCGGGAGAGGUGAGUGGAACUGCGAGUGUAGAGGUGAAAUUCGUAGAUAUUCGCAAGAACACCAGUGGCGAAGGCGGCUCACUGGCCCGAUACUGACGCUGAGGCACGAAAGCGUGGGGAGCAAACAGGAUUAGAUACCCGCGUAGUCCCCUGUCUCUUAUU
Molecule: ribosomal RNA, 301 nt
Filed under: uncultured bacterium
Lineage: Bacteria
Description: partial 16S ribosomal RNA
Rfam family: Bacterial small subunit ribosomal RNA
Source: RNAcentral